UUAUUUUUUUUACUUUUUAAGUAGGUUCUGCAUAAAUAAUUAAACAAAAUGUUCACUAUCGUGUGCGGUAUACAAAUUACAAAUUUAAACAGUUCACCUUAAAUGUAAUUUUCAAAAAAUGAAUCUACCAAGAAUGAAAACCAUUGCAAAAACCAAGUUAAACCUAAUAUGCCAUUUACAAGUUACAACAAUCACAUUCAAACCUUAUAACUCAAAUCAUUCAGCAAGAUUCAGUAACUGGUGUAUGCGUGUACCUAAGCCAUUAAAGAGAUUAUUCUGUUAAAAACCGUUUCCGCUAACAGUUCCACAGUGCGGUUUACAAGUAAUGAAUCAAAUGGGCAUCUAGCUUCAACUUCGAGGUUCAUCCUUGAAAAAAUGAAGUAAUACUACAAAGAGUUGUAAAUACCAUUUCAGAUAUAUCCUGGUGUAUAUAUUUAUCUAUAAUAAUAUUGUGUUAUUCUGUAAUCCGUGUCAGAAUCGGUGCCAUACUGUGGCUAGGGCACAACUAAAUAAAUUGGGUACCAUGAGUGGGGAUUUCAAUUCUGCCUUAUUAAUAUUAACACUUUAAUAAUAAUUAAUAACGUUAAAACGUUGCACCUACCUAUACUCAAGGACAAGACCCUAAUAUUAUAUAUUAUAUGUAGGAUAAAUGAAAAAUAAAUUAUAAUAGAAUAUAUAUUUAGAUUCUAGAUGUCUCGUUCAUAACAAUCCACUUCAGCUAUUUCUGACACUUGAUAUAUAAAAACUUACUAUUUUAUAAAACUAAAUAACAAAUUACAAAAUCUAAUAAAUAGAUAUUACAAAUAAAACAUUGAAAAAAAACAAACAAAAAAUCGAGGGGUAAAUACCUGACAGAAGUUUUGUACACCAGAUUACUGAUUUCAAUGAUUAUACCUAUGAUUACCCAUGAUUCACUACAAAGAUUACCUAUGAUUACCCAUGAUUACCCCUAUGAUAACCAUCACCUUGUACACUGAUUACCCCCAAGGUGUUUACCCCUCGCAAAAAAUGUUGUGUUUUUUGAAGUUAAUAUUUUUACUAUAAUUGAAUUAUAGGGCAUUGACAUUUUUCUUAUUAAUAGAUACAAUGAACUAAAACGAGAAACGGUUAAAAUUUAAUUCAAGAAACAAAUUGACAUUUUCAAUGUGCUAAAAUAAAAUUUCCCUGGUUGGUUGAUUGAAUUUAUGUUUAAAUAUUCACCCGACUAAAAGAUUAAAUAUCAUAUCACAUCACUGUCCAGCCAGUUUCCAACCAUAUUACUCUAUUGAUAAAUAUCUCACCUUUGAUUACUAAACAUGGUUUGUUGGUUUUAAAUAAAUAAAAAAUGAAACUAAAUAGAUACUUGGUGUGUAGAUAAUUGAGACUAAAUAUAUUAAUUAUUAUUACUUUUUACUAAACUCCAUAUAAGAUGUAGAUGAUUUUUAUUUACUGUUUUUUUAAUGUGUCAACAAUCUAAUUUUCUUAUAUUAUUUAAAGUCAAAUUUGAUGUAUAAAAACCAAAAAAUAGAAAUAGUGAUUUCUUGUAUACUGGAUAUUUUAUAUUCAUAUAAAAAAUUAUUUUGUAUUCAUUUAAUUAAAUUUUGUAUAACUAUGAUAACAAACAACUCGCAUUAGAAUUGACUAAUGAUUCAAUUAAAUGAACUGGUCAGUGGUGGUUACAAAUAAAUAAAUUAUGAUUCUUAUGAAUCAUAAGAAAAUGAUUCACUGUACUGUCUGAACCAGUUCAUUUAUUUGAAAAAAAUUAAUCAACAGUG
Molecule: long non-coding RNA, 1754 nt
Organism: Acyrthosiphon pisum (pea aphid)
Lineage: Eukaryota; Metazoa; Arthropoda; Insecta; Hemiptera; Aphididae
Exons: 3
Source: RefSeq, a predicted model, not a curated record